RNAcentral lists this non-coding RNA (22 nucleotides) under Arabidopsis thaliana (thale cress). The record is from RNAcentral. Lineage: Eukaryota; Viridiplantae; Streptophyta; Magnoliopsida; Brassicales; Brassicaceae.
CGCCGAUGAUGGGUAAGGUUUA